CCCCCCAGCAAGAACAUAAGUAUUGGGGGUAAUGCCUGCCCAGUGACACUGUUAAACGGCCGCGGUAUCCUAACCGUGCAAAGGUAGCGUAAUCACUUGUCUUUUAAAUAAAGACUAGAAUGAAUGGCCAAACGAGGCUCUACCUGUCUCUUACAAAUAAUCAGUGAAAUUGAUCUUCCCGUGCAAAAGCGGGGAUAACACUAUAAGACGAGAAGACCCUGUGGAACUUCAAAUAUAAAAUCAACUAUCACCAACACCCACCCACGGGCCUUAUACCAAAUAGCACCUGAUUUUUAUUUUCGGUUGGGGCGACCUCGGAACAAAACAAAACUCCGAAAAAUAAAAAACCCUUUAAACCUAGAACAACAGUUCAAAGUGCUUCCGGCAAAACGAUCCAAUACACUUGAUCAACGAACCAAGCUACCCCAGGGAUAACAGCGCAAUCCCAUCCUAGAGUCCCUAUCGACGAUGGGGUUUACGACCUCGAUGUUGGAUCAGGACAUCCUAAUGGUGUAGCCGCUAUUAAGGGUUCGUUUGUUCAACGAUU
This 547-nucleotide ribosomal RNA is filed under the name Chelonoidis vicina (Cerro Azul giant tortoise). RNAcentral describes it as "partial 16S ribosomal RNA". It matches the Rfam family "Bacterial large subunit ribosomal RNA", at positions 1816 to 2589 of the family's 2925-position model. The record is from RNAcentral. Lineage: Eukaryota; Metazoa; Chordata; Testudines; Testudinidae.